This is an RNA transcript of Mytilus californianus (California mussel), 2021 nucleotides long. It is a transcript of the gene named very low-density lipoprotein receptor-like, with no coding region annotated. The record is from RefSeq and is a predicted model, not a curated record. NCBI's taxonomy places the organism in Eukaryota, Metazoa, Mollusca, Bivalvia, Mytilida, Mytilidae. The transcript has 6 exons.
UAAAUGUAAAACCCACUUUCCUUUUUAAUGUAUCACUAUAUCUACAUUAUUGUAUAAAAGCAGUGUAUAUUAAAAUAUUAUAAGCAAUUACAAGGAGAAAAAAUGAACACUAUUUCAACCACGGUGAGAAUUAUUUUCCUGAUUUUCUUCAUUACGAAAUGUGCAGAAGAGACAACAGCCUCUUCAUUGCCUACAGGGACUACAGGUCUGCCGUGUAAUACAAGUCAUCAGUUUCAAUGUGUCGACGACGGAUCAUGUAUAGAUAUAGAGUUAAGAUGUAACAAUGCAAAAGAGUGCAUAGACUUAUCUGAUGAGUACGGCUGUGAUGCAAUUUCAUCUUGCCCAGAGGUUUUAUAUCUAUGUAGCAAUGGACAAUGUGUGACAAGUGGAGCCGGAUGUAAUGGGCACAUAGAUUGUACAGAUGGUUCUGAUGAGAGUAGUUGUGUUAAUGAUACUACAGACGCAGACACUACUUUGAUGUCAACUGGUUUAAACAUGUCAUCUUCCUCUACUCUGUCUGGAUUGAAGACAAUAGUUUUAGUUUUUUUUAGUAUGAUUGUAUUUUAGUUAUAAUUUUUGAAUAGAGUAGAAAUCGUUUUUAUUAAUUGCACUUAUAUUUUUGCAAGUUUAUUUUAAUCGUUAAUUUUACAUUGAAUAAAGUAACAUUUUCGUCUGCUAAAUUUAGUAAAAGAUAAUAAUAUUUUCAAAAGAAUUUAUUACAGUGUAGAAAAUUAAUCGUUAAUCUUCCUAAAUUUUUUUACACCUUCAGUGGGUCAGUCUAGUCAUUUAGAGUUCAAAUAAUAGUCGUCUGUAAUGCAGCUGUGGUGAUUAAAUAACUUUGUUUUUAUAAUCUCUGGGAAUCAGGUUAGAUUAGGGUGAAAUUUUAUGUCUAAUGUUGCAGACGUAAACAGUUCGUCUUUAUCAUGCCAUAAGUUAACAACGAAAACAAUGUUGUGAAAUUGUAAUAAAAAAUGAUUGUAAAUAUUGUAAAUCAUGUAAAUAUUCGAUUAAAACGUAGUUAUUAGAAAACAUUCGAGUUAGUUAUAUGUUAUGGAUAUAUAAUGUUUAUUCCACUGCACAAUUCAAAUCGUCUCCGUAACACUGUCUUUAUUUUCUUUCGUAUCAAUAGUGUUUUCAUUGCCUACAGAGACCACAGCCACUUUAUUACCUACAGAGACAACAACAUCGUCAUUAUCUACAAAAACAACCAUGUCUUCCUCAACUGUACAGAUUACAGCGUUAUCACUGCCUAUAGAAGCAACGCUCUAAUCAGUACCUAGAGAAACAACACAAUCAUCAGUAACAACACAGACUACACAAUCGUCAAAUUCAACAGGAACAACGCAAAUGUCAGUAACAGCAGAGACAACACAAUCGUCAAUACGAAAAGAAACAAUACAAUCGUCAUUACCAACAGAAACAACACAAUCGUCAGUACCAAAAUGGAUAACACAAUCGUUAAUACCAGUAGAGACAACACAGCCGUCUGUACCAGCAAAGACAACACAAACGUCAGUACCAACAGAAAUAACACGAUCGCAGGUUCCAACAGAGACAGCACAAAUAUCAUUACCAACAGGAGCAACACAUUCGUCAUUACCAACAGAGACAAUACAAUCGUCAGUACCAACAGAGACAACAACAUUGACAGUACCAACAGGACAACACAAUCGUCAAUACUUAAAGAGACAACGCAAACGUCAGCAUUAGUAGAGACAACACAAUCGACAGUACCAACAGAGACAAUAAAAUCAUCUGUACAAACAGAGACAACACAAAUGUCUGUACCAACAGAAACAACACAAUCGUCAUUAACAAAAGAAACAACACAAACAUCAGUACCAACAGAGACAACACAAUCGUAAUUACCACUAGAGACAACACAAUCGUCAGUACCGACAGAGAUAACACAUUCGUAAGUACCAACAGAGACAACACAAUCGUCAAUAUCAAAAGAAAAAACGCAAACUUCAGCGUUAGCAUAGACAACACAAUCGUCAGUACCAAAAGAAAAGAUACAA